CAGUCGAGGGGCAGCAUGACUGUAGCAAUACAGUUGAUGGCGACCGGCAAACGGGUGCGGAACACGUACACAACCUUCCUUUAAGCGGGGAAUAGCCCGGGGAAACCCGGAUUAAUACCCCAUAGUAUAUUGAAGAGGCAUCUCUUUAUUAUUAAAGAUUUAUCACUUGAAGAUGGGUGUGCGGCUGAUUAGCUAGUUGGCGGGGUAACGGCCCACCAAGGCAACGAUCAGUAACUGGUGUGAGAGCACGACCAGUCACACGGGCACUGAGACACGGGCCCGACUCCUACGGGAGGCAGCAGUAAGGAAUAUUGGUCAAUGGACGCAAGUCUGAACCAGCCAUGCCGCGUGGAGGAUGAAGGUCCUCUGGAUUGUAAACUUCUUUUAUCUGGGACGAAAAAAGGUUUUUCUAGACCGACUGACGGUACCAGAUGAAUAAGCACCGGCUAACUCCGUGCCAGCAGCCGCG
Molecule: ribosomal RNA, 469 nt
Filed under: uncultured soil bacterium
Lineage: Bacteria
Description: bacterial SSU rRNA
Rfam family: Bacterial small subunit ribosomal RNA
Source: RNAcentral